RNA transcript from Ruditapes philippinarum (Manila clam), 4473 nucleotides. RefSeq lists it as uncharacterized. The transcript is spliced from 4 exons. The record is from RefSeq and is a predicted model, not a curated record. Lineage: Eukaryota; Metazoa; Mollusca; Bivalvia; Venerida; Veneridae.
UGACACUCUAGUCAUUGGAAAAGAUGAUAUAAGAAAAGUACUAGACGAUGUGGCAACCAUAAUUCAAGACAAGAUGAAGGCUGGAUUAGAUGAUCAAUAUGACAGAAUUAAACUAGAUAUGAUAAAGGGAAAACAAGAAGAUCUCUUAUCUCUUGAAUCAAAAACUGCCGAGGGAAUGAUACAGAUUCAAGAUAAAACUGAUGCUUCUGUGAAAAGAUUAAAUGACGAAAUGGACAAAGAAAUUGAUACAAUUCAUAAACAAGGAGAUAAAGAACGAACAGACCUGGCUGAAUUAGGAAAGACGUUACAAAAAGAACUGAACACAGCAAGUAAAGCCGAGAAAGAAGAACAGUAUAUUGAUUUUAAACAAAAACUUCAAGGCGACCUGAUUAAAUUUUACAGAAAAAGGUGUAGUUCAAUACCUCUCUCACCGCUUCUUGAAGAAAUAGAGACACCUCUAGCUGGGUUCUAUGUGAUGCCAGAUAUAGUCGCGGUGAAACAGAAGUCCCUAACUUGCCAUGAAGAGGAGAGAACACCGAUCAAGUCUUUGAAAAACAUGUUUUCAACAAGAAGUAGAGAUCAGCAAGAGAUUUAUCUAUCAGCUGAUGCAGGUUUUGGAAAAACUGCUUUCUCAAAAUAUCUUGCAAUUACGUGGUGUCAAGCUCAUUGUCACGAUGAAAACUACGCCUGUUUUAAAGAUGACGAUUUAAAAACGUUAUUUGACUUUAAGUUCUUAUUUUUGGUUUUAUUAAGAGACUGUUCCUCUGUUUGUAACAUUGACGAUAUGAUUGAACAGCAAAUAAUUAAGAAACUUCCUGCUUCUGCAGCAAUACAUGAGGUUUUACGUCGGGAAAAAUGCUUGAUUAUAUUAGACGGUCUUGAUGAAUGGACUCACCCUAAUAACAGCUGCAGCGAAGUAACAGAAAAUAUCCCACAUCGGUACGUACGUGAUAAUUGUGUUAUCCUUACGACAACUCGACCGUGGAAGCUUGGAGUUUCAAAUCUCAAAACAAGUCAAAUAAACAAAAAAAUAGAAUUGGCUCAAUUAAGUGAAGAAUCUACGCGGCAACUAGAAGAAAAUGCUAUAAGGAAAAUGACAGGUGUCCUUAACGAUACAGUACUGAAGCGUAAAACACAGGACUUCAAUAAAGUGAUAACUGACCGUCGCCUAGAACACAUGCAAGUGAUUCCACUCCUCCUCAUGUAUAUAGUUUGCCUAUGGUGUAACAACAUUCCAAUAGGAAAUUCAAUACAUGAAAUUUACACCAAUAUCAUUGAAUUUCUAUUAUCGAGAACGUCAAAGAAACACCCGGAAGUUCUAUCAUCUCGUGAAUCGUCUGCCAGUGAAAUUCCUGAAUACUUCCAAAGUCGUAAAUUUUGUAAAAAGUUUUACAAAUUAAUAAAAUCACUAACAGAACUAGCGAACCAAACAUUAUUUAACGAAAACAGAGAAAACACGCUGGUAUUUGAUAGAACGGUUGCUGAAAAAUAUCUCCAAGCAGACGACAUGAUAUUAAGUCUUCUCUCAGGAAUACUGUCAGAAAGUAGAAGUAAAACAUUAGUCAAAGAAAUUAUCAAAAUAUCGUUUUCCCACAAAACAGUGCAUGAAUACUUUGCCGCCAUAUUUAUAAGUUCUCAAAGUGACGCUCAGAAAUCUGUUGUAGAAAAAUGUAGAAAUGUUCAAGACAUUCUGGACAUGUCAAAAAUUUGUGAAUUUAUAAGUAAAUUGAAUUCUGACCUGGUGUGUGCAAUAUCAAAUGAUUUAAUGUCUGUGAUAAAUGAAGACGAUAAAACACGCGACUAUAGAACCCAGGCAGAUUACAGUGACUCAUUGUAUAACAUACAGAAAAUGUUCAUGUCGUGUUUACAAGAAAUGCCUGAAAGUGAAAAUAUUCAAUUAUGUUUACAAGAUUUCUUCAUUGACAAGAACACCAUGCACAGUGAGCAGUUACAACGAUUGUUAAAACAAAAUAAAACCAACAUAAAAUCACUUAAUAUAAGGACCAGUCGUACUUCCAGCAGUUUACGUAAAAUUAUAGAUUUAUUCUCUCUCACAGAUCUCAGUCAUUUACAGAAACUUUACUAUGGGGGUGACAUGGAGGAGGAGGCUGAUAUAAAUCGGAUACUGUUUCCCAGUUUACAGUCCGUAGCUUUGUGGUGUGGUACAUGGACAAAUGAUGAAGAAAAUCAGAGUGAAAACCUGGCGCGAUGUCAAAACUUACAAUAUUUAUAUAUUGGCGGCUUCACGUUUUCUCACAAAAUAUUGGAAACAAUUUUCAAUUUUAUCUCCGUUCAAAAAUCAAUGAAAGAAUUAACAUUGUGGAGGUUAGCCUGUAAAGAACAUGGCGGCCAUGAUUGUAAGAGGUGGGACUUAGACUUGUCUCAACAUUCAACUCUAUCAAAGUUAGGAUUGUGUAAGUUACCUGGGAGUCUACAAUUGAAUAUGUCAACACCGUCAUUAGAUAAUGUUACGCUAUCGGACAUAAAUCUAGAUGAAAGUUCAUUGUUACUGUCAAGUGACAUGUUGAAUAUUGAACGUGUUGAGUUGAGGGAGAUAGAAAUGCCUGCAGGAAGUUUACAGAACUUUAUUACCAUGCUAGAAAAUCUGUCGCAGUCAGUUACAGUAGAGAUGAUCGCCAUAGAACCGGAAACUGAAUAUGAACGUGUUAGAGAAAAUAUUCGGAGAUUACAUACUUUUCAUGUGAUACGAGACGACUGGUGGUUUGAGUUCAAAACAAUAAAACCAAGCAAAGAAUAGACAAGAAAAAACAUUGUGAAAUAAACUGAAGAAAUAACCUCAAUAAUUUAAAAUAAUUUAAACAAUUUAAAUAUGGACACAUAAAACAAAAUUGCGACACUGCAAUCUUAAAUUAGGACAUGCAUGUACUUCGUUUUCAAUUAUGAUUAAUUAAUUGACAAUUGCUUAUAAAUAAAAACAUUGAAUUAAUAGAAAUAAUUCAAGGAAUGUUUUACGGAAUUUAAUGGAUAAAAAAGUUGGAUUAGGAUACAGUAUGGAAAUAUUUCACAGUGGCCUUGGAUCAAAAGCAUUGUGAUGCAGAAUCUCUUGUGACAUUAUAAUUAUUAGGAUUUUUGUAGUUUAUAGAUUAUUUUGAGCAACAAAAAUACCAUGUUCCUUUAUUGACAAGCUUGAGUAAAUCUACAGUGACAGUGAUGAUUAUGCUUCUACUAGAGUCCAAUAUGAAGACUUAACAUCUGUUCCUAGCUUUACAGAAACAUAUCCAAAAGAAAAUUGUUUAAAAACAGUGCGUCUUCAAUAGCUUCUAAAAUCUUCUAGUUCCUGAAUGAAACGAAAACAGACCAGCAAUUUGUAACUUACUUUUGCAUCGUAAAUUGUACCUUAAAUCUGUUUUCUUCAAGAGGAAUUUACAUCUAAAAAUGAAAUUCUUACCAAGACCGCUGUGAAAUAUUUUAGAGUUCCUUCAGAAAAUUUUUUGUGAGUUACAUAAUUAUAUUUCAUUAGAAAACAGAAAAUGAAACUUGUAAAAAACGCUUAAAAAUAAAGUGGAUGGUUUAGAAUGGGCACAUUUUCCAUAUUAAAGUAUUGAUAAAAAAAAGAGAUAUUGCCUUUUGGUUACUCUUAUGAGAUAUUAAUGAAAACAAAAAUGUUGAUAGAUUUCUAAAGAGAUUUUAAGUAUGAACACAAUAUAUGAUGAAUUAUAAUAUUUUGUUGCAGAAACCCUUUAUUAUAUGCUAUAUGUUGAUAUGUCAUUCGGUUUUGAACUAUGGUGAAUUAGGGUCAUAGCGGACUUCUUGUUACUUUAAGAGAUGCAUGUUGUUGUUUUUUUUUGUGUGUAUAUAGUUUUCUUAGUAUGAUUUUGUAUAUUUAACAAAGAUUAAUAUAUUUGUAUUAUGUAUACGUAUUCAAUAUAACACCCGUUCUUUAAAACCACAAUCAUAUCAGUAAUUAAACUCUCAUACAACAAAGUUGUUGUUAAUAUGGUAAUUAUUCAAGAAUCAUUUUAGUUUUCUCUCAUGCCUAUUCAUAUUUAGUUUUGUCCCCCGAGGUUAAUUUUUUAAGUGUUGAAGUUAAGAACUUGAAAAGUCAUAGAUAGAUAAAUCUCAUUAAGAAAACUGCAAUGAACUAUAAGAUACCAAACCCUUUUAUAAAACAUUUUACAUUUAAAGUCCUUUAAAGUUUGCAAUGCUUUAUUUUGGUUUCGAACCAUUGAGGUAAAUUACUGUUUGUUUUUUUUAUAAUUGCUGUGCACAUUUUUAGUGUUAUUGCCCAUUCAGCAUUGUAAAUUUCCAUAUUUUAGUAAUUGCCGGGACACAACUAGUACACAUUUAAAUGUAUCUACAUUGUAGAAAUAUCUUAUUGAGGUAUAUGCCGUGUGUUAAUUUUGUAGUUAUUCAACGUUGUAUCAGUUUAAACUAAAUUUCUGUGUAGAGCAUAGUUACCUUUAAAGGCACAUUAUGCCUCAGAAAUCUGUUUUUAUUAAAUUCUUUAGAAAU